Long non-coding RNA from Varanus komodoensis (Komodo dragon), 2782 nucleotides. RefSeq lists it as uncharacterized. The transcript is spliced from 4 exons. The record is from RefSeq and is a predicted model, not a curated record. Lineage: Eukaryota; Metazoa; Chordata; Lepidosauria; Squamata; Varanidae.
GGAAGAGAUGCUAUCUUGGAAAACACACUGUGGUCAGAUUGCUUACUAAAGAGAUCAAAGAUGGGAGAGGAAAGAGUUCAUACAACAGGUACAAAGGGUAAAGGUCAAGGUUCCCAUGCACAUAUAUCCUAGAUGUGCUGGACUCUGGGGUCAGCUCAUCCCCAUUUGUGAGCCAAAGAGCCAGCGUUGUCCGAAGAUGCUUCAGUGGUCAUGUGGCCGGCGGGACGAAAUGCUGGGGUGCAUGGAAUGCUGUUACCUCCCCACCAAAGUGCCAACGGCCGUGCUUAGAGAAUUACCUUGGCCAGCAGAAGCAACUUCCACCAGCCACCACUAUCAAGGCCUGUUUCAUCAUCAGCAUCUUGACAAUCAUGCAAAAGUGAUGGGAGCUUCACUUGCAAGCCAACCAUGUUUGCAGCAAAGCCUCAUCCUGAAAGCAAAUUCACAAAGCAUUCCUCGAAUCAGUGCGCACAUUUCUGCAGGCCAAACAUCUGAAGAAAGCCACAUUCUGCCAUGGGUAUUUUCCCAAACAGGUUUUGCACAAUGCAAACUUUCACCCGGAGCAACCAGCCAGCCAGGGGAUUUUACCCUGGGAUCACUGCUGGCAUUACCCUUGCUAUCACCACCAUCAAAAGCUUGACCCUAUUGGGAAGAAAAGGCAUGCAACCACGAAAGGAAAACAUACACACACAGUUCCUGAUUUGGAUAAACUGCUUGGAGCCAAAGUUGUUCCUUAGGAAACCUAUAAAAAAGUGGUAACAUCUGUGCUCCCGCUGGGAUUUGAUGUCUCAUCAAAACUCUCUCUACCAGUAACUUUGCCUUUGAUAUGAGACACAAAGAAGAAAAUACCUGAUCUUCAGCCACAGCUCAUGGUUCCUCCCUGGGUCUCUGUAUCCUGACCUACUGAACAUUCCUUACAGCCAAAAGCGGCUUGCCGUGACUACCUCCUUCAUGUAAGUCUGUUUACUAAUCUCUUAGCAAACACUUACACCAACCUGAAGGGAGCUGCAAAAAGAAGGUCAAAAAAGGACCACAGAGUCAAAACACCUCUGGAAGGUCAGCCCUAAAGAGGUGACAACACAACAGAAUCAGAUCCUGAAUUCUCUGCUCAUCAAGCAAUCCCUUCAUGUCAGGAAGUGCCCCUCUAUCAAGCUCUGCCUCCCCAGUGACGAUUUUAAAAUAUAUUAUGGCCACCCGGUUUCUUUUCUCUCCCUAUUAACCUGCCAUCAUUCAGAUCCAUUCUUUCUGGCUGCUGAGACUCGUGUGACAGCACUUACAGGUAUUUGCAAAGCGACUCCUUUUAUCACAGCAGUACCAUUGGGAUAUGUCAUUUGAAAAGUCCAGCCAGCCAGCCCCAUCUGCUCUCAGGAGUAACCUUUCCUUAGGAGCUUAUAAGAAAAUCCACUGUUGCAAUAAAUAACGACUCUCAACAAAUGAUCAAAGAAAAAAUAAAUCAGGGUGCUUUAAAAAAAAAAAGAAAAUGAAAUCCCAUCUUUUCCCUCCUCCCUCCCUCCUGUCUUUUUAAAAUGGAUAACAGUGAAGGAGGUUCUAGUAGCCAUUCUGCUUAUCCAGGAAGCUGAGUUUUCAGCAUUGGUUGUAUGGCAAUUGGUCAGACCAAAAUGGAUCUGCCAUCCUCAGAAGCGGAAGCUUUCAAACUAAAGUUUGUAAUAUAGAAGAACAUAUUGUUUGGAAUUUAACUUCUAAUAUCUAGGAAUAAACAGAGCAUUAAAUCAAGCAAAACUGGGACAAGGCCAAUAUGCACAUGGAUGAUGCCAGUGAGGCAUCUCCAGCCUCUUUGUUCACAGCUUAACAAAACUGUGCCGUCACACCACUUUAGCUCAACAGUGCCUGUCGAAUGGGCAUCAGCAGAUCAGCCAAUGCCUGUCACAUGUAGGGCUGAAAAACUGUUUGAAAGCAAGGCUUUACUGUAGCAGAAGUCUGGUUAGGGAAAGUGAGAAGAAGGAUUUUUUAAUCAUCUUGCGAAGGCCAGAAGAAAGAAAACAACAAAAAUGUGGUGAAUACAUGCACAUACACACAUGUGCACACACACCUCUCACAGAAACAUAUACGUACGUGUGUGUGUGUGUGUAUGCUACUUUUCUGCCUUGUGAAAAAAGUCAACAGCAAUGUUCUUAUAUGCUAUUUUCAGUACUUUAAACCAAGCAAAAGAAAUUGUAACUCACAGCUCAUAUGCUGGAAUUCUUACUUGGAAUUAAGUCCCCACUAAAAUCAAAGUGAUACUUCUUAGGAAACAUGGUUAGGAUUGUAUUAUGACCAGACUGUCUUUAAAAUAGCAAGGUUUUGUUCCAGGCAAAUGUAUUUGGGUUUGAAGUGUGAAGCCUAUGCAAGUAUGUGUCUUAUAUGUACUUGGAAACAGAUUGCGAUGAAUGCAACAGAACUUUUCCCAAUCCUUUUGCCUUAUGUUUGUUUGUUUUUUCAUUGGUUAUUUUAAAGAACUCUAGUUUUUAAAGGGAAAAUAUUAUAAAAUAGGAAUUAAAUGUGUGUCAUUGUCAAGUCAUCAAGCUCUAGGCCCCCUUUUUCACUGAAAAGGGAUCAAUGAAGUGAUGCAUGGGCCCCAGUUCUCUUGAAAUUGUGGCAGAAAAAUAUGUCUGCACCCAUAUUCUAUGCUGCAAUCCUGACUGUAAUGCCCACUGCCAGUCUUACUUCUGAUUAAAGUGCAUGAGGUUGCACUGUUAAACAAGACAAAACAGGUAUCCAAUAAUAUGUGGACACCAGUUUCAUUUUUACAUGUAGACAGAUAGACCCAGUAGAGCUGUUUAUAUAA